Molecule: ribosomal RNA, 329 nt
Filed under: endosymbiont of Sphenophorus levis
Lineage: Bacteria; Pseudomonadati; Pseudomonadota; Gammaproteobacteria
Description: bacterial SSU rRNA
Rfam family: Bacterial small subunit ribosomal RNA
Source: RNAcentral
GACGUCAGAAUUCCAAGUGUAGCGGUGAAAUGCGUAGAUAUUUGGACGGAAUACCAGAGGCGAAGGCGACUCCCUGGGUAAUAACUGACACUGAGGUACGAAACGCUUGGGGACGCACAACAGGAUUAGAUACCCUGGUAGUCCAUGCUGUAAACGAUGUCAAUUUGAAGAUUGUACAUAUCAUCUAUUUCAUCAUACAUUCUCUCGUAGGCUAACGCAUUAAACUGACACGCCUGGGCGAUUACCGACCGAACAGGUUAAAACUCACAUGAAUUGCACGGGGACCCGCAACAAGCGGUGGAGCAUGUGGUCUAAAUUCGAUACCAAAC